Molecule: ribosomal RNA, 309 nt
Filed under: Triticum aestivum (bread wheat)
Lineage: Eukaryota; Viridiplantae; Streptophyta; Magnoliopsida; Poales; Poaceae
Description: partial small subunit ribosomal RNA
Source: RNAcentral
AUGCAGAGGUGGUGGGAGUCCUCGGUGGGGUAUGAGCAAUUGCUGAAUGUGGCUUUAACCAUUUGGAUAUUCCCGAUAAUGUGCAUGACAUGCUUCAUGUAUGGAUGCCCAGCAUAUAUGAAACUGAACGUGGACGCUGGAUUUGAUCAAGACAACUUAAAUGGGUCGGUUGGUGCAAUUAUCCACGAUCACACUGGAAAGUUUAUUGCCGCUGCAAACGAAAGAUUGAGUUCUUGUUAUGAUGCUUUUACAGCUGAAGCAAUAGCAGUUUUUUUUGAAACGAGGCAAAAAACUUGCCAUUUUCAUUGA